Long non-coding RNA from Acanthochromis polyacanthus (spiny chromis), 636 nucleotides. RefSeq lists it as uncharacterized. Lineage: Eukaryota; Metazoa; Chordata; Actinopteri; Pomacentridae. The record is from RefSeq and is a predicted model, not a curated record. The transcript is spliced from 3 exons.
UCGGAGUAGUUUGACCCGGAGUUACGCGCGUGCACCGCAAGUCUGAAAAGACAGCAUCAAUGGAACCCCGAUUCGACGAGUCACCAUGGAAACGGGGAAGCGAAAGGCUGCGUUUUUGAACUGGAAGUUUUUAACGCGCUCAUAUGGCGAGUUUGAACACGUUUUUAGAAAGAAGUGCAACACCGCUGCAGCUGCAAAAGAGGGGGAGACAGCGUGGAGAACAGCCCGGAUCAAUGCGAUGAAGAGGAUGAAACUGUGUCUGCUGCCUUUACAGAGGGGGAUCCAGAAAGGCAUAGAGAGCAUGGCUGGACAGCAGCAGGAUGGUCCCUCAGCUUCCACUGCACAGACUGACACAGUGAAAUGGAUGUUCAGGAAACACCAGAGAUUCAUUCUGUGGAAUUCAUGUGCAACUGUAUAAUUGAAUGUCCUCUAUGUAUUCCCAGUUAUCAAUAAAACAGAUUUACAAACUGCAUUUGCUGAGAAAAAUCCAAAAAACAGAUUAGGAGGGAAGAUCUGGAAAUUGAAAUACUGGAGCACAAGUUAGAGGUGGUGAUGGUCACAGGUGAAUUAUGUUAACUACUGGAACAUUAACUGAACUAUCUUUUAUUUGUAGGAAAUAAAGAAGAGCAAAUGCAA